GCUCCCAUGGUCACUGCGCUCGCCUUGCAAGCGGGAGACCCGGGUUAGAUUCCCGGCGGGGUCA
Molecule: transfer RNA, 64 nt
Filed under: Diaphorina citri (Asian citrus psyllid)
Lineage: Eukaryota; Metazoa; Arthropoda; Insecta; Hemiptera; Psyllidae
Rfam family: tRNA
About the family: Transfer RNA (tRNA) molecules are approximately 80 nucleotides in length.
Source: Rfam by way of RNAcentral